Molecule: long non-coding RNA, 838 nt
Organism: Leptopilina boulardi
Lineage: Eukaryota; Metazoa; Arthropoda; Insecta; Hymenoptera; Figitidae
Exons: 3
Source: RefSeq, a predicted model, not a curated record
AAACAUGGUUUUGUGCCUUUUUGUGAAAUUAAAUUUAAAAUGUGAAGAUUUACAAUUUUUGGGACGAGACGUCAUCGUUGUUGUCAAAUGGGCGCCUCACUUAUACGAAAACAAUGCAGAUGUCAGUCAGAAGCGUAAGCUCUGAUGGUUGGCUGGUCUUCUUUUAAACCAACUGUGGUACAAAAUGAGGAAGGACGCGAAUAUGGAAGUACAAAUUAACACAUAUGCAUAUAUGGAAACAUAAAGUGCACAUACGCACAGCAGAGAGGACAUCGAGGAUGAUUACAGGCAGUAGUUGCUGUUUCUGCAGUCGCGAGAGUGAACGCUUUCUCUCUCUCUCUCUCUCUCCCGGAAGUGCUAGCUAUUAUAAUCAUAGCGAAACCACUGUCAUCGCCACCUCUACAGAUAUAUAUUUUCAAAUAUUAUUGCUGUUUACGAGAAAAGAAGUCCUUUUUCUUUUCCUUGGAGUGCACUACCUGAUUCAAUGAAAGACAGACUAGAAAUGCAUAAAACUUUGACCAAUAAAAAUUGUAGUGAGUUAAGGAAAAUUAUGGGCAUCAUCUGAUUGGAACACAAAAAAAUUCGGGAGAAAUAUGCCUAGUUCUCUAAUUAAUAUAUUUGCUAAUAAAUAUCCACAAGCUCUAAAAAUAGAUGGAGAACAGUUAAGUGAUGGAAAAGAAGUUUUUCUUAUUAGGCUCUAUGAUCAUAUAAAUUACAAAAACCAUCCAACGAAAAAAAACCCAAAGAAAGGAAAAGCUAUGUCAGGUAAUGUCAUUGAAGAAGAUAACAAUCAGAGUGAUAUGGGAAAUAUAAAUCGCGAUGAAUAGGGCUAUGUGGC